AUGCGCGCCGUGCGAUGGGCGCAACCUGCCGGCGGCGGAGGAGGAACGACAGGGCGGCAGGGCCGCCGUGAUCCACCUCCAAGGCGGCGAGGCGGCGGCGGCGAGGGGGUUCUCGAGGGCCGCGAGGUCCAUGGGGUCCGUGCCGAGCCCCGGCGCCGGGCACUAGCCAAGUUAGCCAUGGUUCUUCCACCCCGGAGUCCGGCGAUGGAGAAGCUCCCAUUUUGCGGCGGGGAAUGGGACCCUGCGCCGCGUUUUUGUCCGUUCCUCGACUUGAUGAGCUUCUCGCUUUCAUAUGCGGCGUACGAAAAUGAUGGGGACGGUUUGUCAUUGUGUAUCUGA
RNAcentral lists this ribosomal RNA (339 nucleotides) under Triticum aestivum (bread wheat). RNAcentral describes it as "partial small subunit ribosomal RNA". The record is from RNAcentral. Lineage: Eukaryota; Viridiplantae; Streptophyta; Magnoliopsida; Poales; Poaceae.